UGGGGAAUAUUGGACAAUGGGCGCAAGCCUGAUCCAGCCAUGCCGCGUGAGUGAUGACGGCCUUAGGGUUGUAAAGCUCUUUCGCUCGGGACGAUAAUGACGGUACCGAGAUAAGAAGCCCCGGCUAACUUCGUGCCAGCAGCCGCGGUAAUACGAAGGGGGCUAGCGUUGUUCGGAAUUACUGGGCGUAAAGCGCGUGUAGGCGGGUCUUUAAGUCAGGGGUGAAAUGCCAAGGCUCAACCUUGGAACUGCCUUUGAUACUGGAGAUCUUGAGUCCGGGAGAGGUGAGUGGAAUUGCGAGUGUAGAGGUGAAAUUCGUAGAUAUUCGCAAGAACACCAGUGGCGAAGGCGGCUCACUGGCCCGGAACUGACGCUGAGACGCGAAAGCGUGGGGAGCAAACAG
RNAcentral lists this ribosomal RNA (403 nucleotides) under uncultured bacterium. RNAcentral describes it as "bacterial SSU rRNA". It matches the Rfam family "Bacterial small subunit ribosomal RNA", at positions 355 to 775 of the family's 1533-position model. The record is from RNAcentral.